This is a regulatory RNA element of 65 nucleotides. It matches the Rfam family "L2-Alphaproteobacteria ribosomal protein leader". The record is from Rfam.
GGCCACCUACGGGGGGCUAAUCACAUAGGCAGGUUUACCUGUCGCAGCUAAACGGAAGACAGAAA